Molecule: ribosomal RNA, 464 nt
Filed under: Vreelandella stevensii
Lineage: Bacteria; Pseudomonadati; Pseudomonadota; Gammaproteobacteria; Oceanospirillales; Halomonadaceae
Description: partial 16S ribosomal RNA
Rfam family: Bacterial small subunit ribosomal RNA
Source: RNAcentral
CUACGGGAGGCUGCAGUGGGGAAUAUUGGACAAUGGGCGAAAGCCUGAUCCAGCCAUGCCGCGUGUGUGAAGAAGGCCUUCGGGGUGUAAAGCACUUUCAGUGGGGAAGAAAGCCUUGGGGCUAAUACCCUCGAGGAAGGACAUCACCCACAGAAGAAGCACCGGCUAACUCCGUGCCAGCAGCCGCGGUAAUACGGAGGGUGCGAGCGUUAAUCGGAAUUACUGGGCGUAAAGCGCGCGUAGGCGGUCUGAUAAGCCGGUUGUGAAAGCCCCGGGCUCAACCUGGGAACGGCAUCCGGAACUGUCAGGCUAGAGUGCAGGAGAGGAAGGUAGAAUUCCCGGUGGAGCGGUGAAAUGCGUAGAGAUCGGGAGGAAUACCAGUGGCGAAGGCGGCCUUCUGGACUGACACUGACGCUGAGGUGCGAAAGCGUGGGUAGCAAACAGGAUUAGAUACCCUUGUAGUC